UGUUCUGCAUGCUGCUAGCUCACUGUCACAGCGUCAGGGCUUACUGGAACACCUGAAUGGAUCCAAGGCGUCAUUAAUGAGAUUAGCAACACCUGUGCUCAGUCAAAUUAUCUGCUGUGAAAAAGGUCUGUGUUGACAGUUCUGUGUUAUUUGCACAGCAGCACUUGGCCCUCAGCUAUGUGUUCUUCCUGGAGCCAUUUUACUAUCUCAAGUGAUCCAUGUUUGAACUGUCCUGUGAUUUUAAAGACAUGGUGAAUAUUUGAAUCUUCAGGGACCAUUCAAGAGCUCCUGAUGUAUCCCCUGGGCGUCCUCAGACUACAGUUUACAGAGUGCUUUGCCUAAGAGGAAGUAUAUCUGUUAUGAGGAGCUGGGGAGUGUGUUAAACAUGGAACCAUUGGAUGUACUGUUUGAACUGGCUCAUAACUGUGAACUCCUUCCAUCCAUCCAUCAUCUCUGGGGUCUGGCAUCAAGUCCUGGGUUUGGAGAUUGGCACAGAUGCCAUGCAGCUACAACUACAGAGUUCAACUGGUUGAGCAUUCGGGGGACAUCAGAUCACCGUGGAGCAGUGUGACAAUGAUGCUGACGCUCUGAUGGAGAGGGCGGCAUUUUCUGCUGCAACAGGCGACUAUGAUGAAGAACCAUUGGAUGUACUGUUUGAACUGGCUCAUAACUGUGAACUCCUUCCAUCCAUCCAUCAUCUCUGGGGUCUGGCAUCAAGUCCUGG
This is a long non-coding RNA of Notolabrus celidotus (New Zealand spotty), 724 nucleotides long. RefSeq lists it as uncharacterized. The transcript has 5 exons. Lineage: Eukaryota; Metazoa; Chordata; Actinopteri; Labriformes; Labridae. The record is from RefSeq and is a predicted model, not a curated record.